Molecule: ribosomal RNA, 468 nt
Filed under: uncultured bacterium
Lineage: Bacteria
Description: partial 16S ribosomal RNA
Rfam family: Bacterial small subunit ribosomal RNA
Source: RNAcentral
GACGAACGCUGGCGGCGUGCUUAACACAUGCAAGUCGAACGGAAAGGCCCUGCUUUUGUGGGGUGCUCAAGUGGCGAACGGGUGAGUAACACGUGAGUAACCUGCCCUUGACUUUGUGAUAACUUCAGGAAACUGGGGCUAAUACCGGAUAUGAGCUCCUGCUGCAUGGUGGGGGUUGGAAAGUUUCGGCGGUUGGGGAUGGACUCGCGGCUUAUCAGCUUGUUGGUGGGGUAGUGGCUUACCAAGGCUUUGACGGGUAGCCGGCCUGAGAGGGUGACCGGCCACAUUGGGACUGAGAUACGGACCAGUAUGCUACGGGAGGCAGCAGUGGGGAAUAUUGCACAAUGGGCGGAAGCCUGAUGCAGCAACGCCGCGUGCGGGAUGACGGCCUUCGGGUUGUAAACCGCUUUCGCCUGUGACGAAGCGUGAGUGACGGUAAUGGGUAAAGAAGCACCGGCUAACUACGUG